This 246-nucleotide ribosomal RNA is filed under the name uncultured Lactobacillus sp. RNAcentral describes it as "partial 16S ribosomal RNA". It matches the Rfam family "Bacterial small subunit ribosomal RNA", at positions 116 to 354 of the family's 1533-position model. Lineage: Bacteria; Bacillati; Bacillota; Bacilli; Lactobacillales; Lactobacillaceae. The record is from RNAcentral.
CGUGGGUAACCUGCCCAAGAGAUCGGGAUAACACCUGGAAACAGAUGCUAAUACCGGAUAACAACAGAUGAUGCCUAUCAACUGUUUAAAAGAUGGUUCUGCUAUCACUCUUGGAUGGACCUGCGGUGCAUUAGCUAGUUGGUAGGGUAACGGCCUACCAAGGCGAUGAUGCAUAGCCGAGUUGAGAGACUGAUCGGCCACAUUGGGACUGGGACACGGCCCAAACUCCUACGGGAGGCAGCAGGC